RNAcentral lists this non-coding RNA (103 nucleotides) under Picrophilus oshimae. RNAcentral's name for it is "Picrophilus torridus TPP sequence". It matches the Rfam family "TPP riboswitch aptamer (THI element)". Rfam says of the family: Vitamin B(1) in its active form thiamin pyrophosphate (TPP) is an essential coenzyme that is synthesised by coupling of pyrimidine and thiazole moieties in bacteria. Lineage: Archaea; Methanobacteriati; Thermoplasmatota; Thermoplasmata; Thermoplasmatales; Picrophilaceae. The record is from RNAcentral.
AUAUGUCGACUGGGGAGCCGAAAAGGCUGAGAGGAUCUAAAAAGAUCGACCCUUUGAACCUGAUCCGGGUAAUACCGGCGGAGGGAUUUUAGUGGAAUUGAAU